RNAcentral lists this ribosomal RNA (399 nucleotides) under uncultured bacterium. RNAcentral's name for it is "bacterial SSU rRNA". It matches the Rfam family "Bacterial small subunit ribosomal RNA", at positions 64 to 507 of the family's 1533-position model. The record is from RNAcentral.
GAGCGGCCGUAGCAAUACGGCAGCGGCAGACGGGAGAGUAACACGUGGGAACGUACCCUUCGGUUCGGAAUAACUCAGGGAAACUUGAGCUAAUACCGGAUACGUCCGUAAGGAGAAAGAUUUAUCGCCGAGGGAUCGGCCCGCGUCCGAUUAGCUAGUUGGUGGGGUAAUGGCCCACCAAGGCGACGAUCAGUAGCUGGUCUGAGAGGAUGAUCAGCCACAUUGGGACUGAGACACGGCCCAAACUCCUACGGGAGGCAGCAGUGGGGAAUAUUGGACAAUGGGCGCAAGCCUGAUCCAGCCAUGCCGCGUGAGUGAUGAAGGCCCUAGGGUUGUAAAGCUCUUUUGUGCGGGAAGAUAAUGACGGUACCGCAAGAAUAAGCCCCGGCUAACUUCGUG